GGGUUUGUGGCUCAGUGGUAGAGUGCUUGCCUAGCAUGUAUGAGGCCUUGGGUUUGAUUCUCAGCACCA
This 69-nucleotide transfer RNA is filed under the name Ictidomys tridecemlineatus (thirteen-lined ground squirrel). RNAcentral's name for it is "Spermophilus tridecemlineatus (thirteen-lined ground squirrel) tRNA". It matches the Rfam family "tRNA". From Rfam's summary of the family: Transfer RNA (tRNA) molecules are approximately 80 nucleotides in length. The record is from Rfam by way of RNAcentral. Lineage: Eukaryota; Metazoa; Chordata; Mammalia; Rodentia; Sciuridae.